AAAUAUUCACCUCAAAAUUAAAAAAAAUAAUAAUUCAACACAAAAACACACUUGAUCAACCAGUGUACUGAGGUGAUGCUAGUCUUCUUUUGAGAUUUAUGAUGUGCUUUGUUUGUUAUUGACACUCCCUUGACCCAAAAAAAGAGGAGAAAACAAAAAAAUCAAAACCCAAAACCAUUUUAGCUCUGGAUAAAGAAAAAUUGAAAGAGUUGGAGAAGCAUAAUCUUUGCAAUCCAUAUUGAUUCAUUUAAGCCAACCUAAUGUUACAUCAUAGAAGAGAGCAUGCACCAAAUAUUCGAUAUUUGUCCAAUAUUAAAUGUUAAAUAUUCUCUGACCAACUUGGCAUGUACGACAUUGCUAUCACUCACAUCAGUUCGAUUAAACUUGUAUGUAUAAACCUAAAUGUAAAUAAUAGCUUAUCACUAAAAUUUUGCUUCUAAUGAAAAAAAUUUGGAAAAGUCUUGAAA
This is a non-coding RNA of Hydra vulgaris (swiftwater hydra), 467 nucleotides long. The record is from RefSeq and is a predicted model, not a curated record. Lineage: Eukaryota; Metazoa; Cnidaria; Hydrozoa; Anthoathecata; Hydridae.